GAUGAACGCUGGCGGCGUGCCUAAUACAUGCAAGUCGAGCGAACGGACGAGAAGCUUGCUUCUCUGAUGUUAGCGGCGGACGGGUGAGUAACACGUGGAUAACCUACCUAUAAGACUGGGAUAACUUCGGGAAACCGGAGCUAAUACCGGAUGAUAUUUUGAACCGCAUGGUUCAAAAGUGAAAGACGGUCUUGCUGUCACUUAUAGAUGGAUCCGCGCUGCAUUAGCUAGUUGGUAAGGUAACGGCUUACCAAGGCAACGACGCAUAGCCGACCUGAGAGGGUGAUCGGCCACACUGGAACUGAGACACGGUCCAGACUCCUACGGGAGGCAGCAGUAGGGAAUCUUCCGCAAUGGGCGAAAGCCUGACGGAGCAACGCCGCGUGAGUGAUGAAGGUCUUCGGAUCGUAAAACUCUGUUAGUAGGGAAGAACAUAUGUGUAAGUAACUGUGCACAUCUUGACGUUACCUAAUCAGAAAGCCACGGCUAACUACGUG
RNAcentral lists this ribosomal RNA (497 nucleotides) under uncultured bacterium. RNAcentral's name for it is "partial 16S ribosomal RNA". It matches the Rfam family "Bacterial small subunit ribosomal RNA", at positions 28 to 507 of the family's 1533-position model. The record is from RNAcentral.